This is a long non-coding RNA of Neocloeon triangulifer, 889 nucleotides long. RefSeq lists it as uncharacterized. The record is from RefSeq and is a predicted model, not a curated record. NCBI's taxonomy places the organism in Eukaryota, Metazoa, Arthropoda, Insecta, Ephemeroptera, Baetidae. The transcript has 5 exons.
AAUUUUUUUUUUUUUUUUAUAGGCACAUAAUGUAUUUAUAUUUUUUAUUUUUGUUAUUGUUCUCAGUUCUCGUGCCUUAUGGUUCUUUUAGAGCUAAGGAUCUUUUGUCAAACCAUUGAAUUAUGUAUGUACUAGAUUAAAUUAUUAGGUCCACAUGUGUCAAAAAACAUCUUAGAAGCUGCAUGAAAGUGGGAAAGCCAGCUUGGAAAAGACGAAACCAAAUAAAAUUUCCAACAAUUUAACAGAUUUGGUUGCUCUCUUGACUGAGAGAUGGUCGGAGGUGGAGACAACGGAUAAGAGAAAACCUUUUAGCCAGAGGGUCUGUGGUCCAAAAGUUCAAUGAGGUUUCGUACGACUUUUUGUGAAGCCCCUGGAGCCAAUUUAAUCACUGACAAUAGUUCUCCGGAGUUUGACCAUCCGAUUUGGAAACAGGAGCCGACCUCAAGAAAAAGCACAGGAGAAAGGCUGGUUUGAUUGACACAAUGACACAGGAGGAUUAUGGUUAGGCACGACAUUAAUAAGAACGACAUGAAAGUCCUGUUAUAUACUCAUCAGUCAUAGCAGAAUCAGUGACACUUCCAAUUAAGAGCCAUUCAAACAGCUAAAAUCAGAAAAACCCAGUCUCAAGUUUUUAACUGAAAAAACUUCUGGAAAUCAAAAUUCAAACUGAUGAACAUGACUUUAUUUGUGAUGAUAAAGCUGCCAUGAGCUUGUACAUGAAAUCAAAAGGAGUGGGAAAGACUGAGGAAGAAGAAUAAAUCACCAAGAGAUAUGCCCAUCGAGAGAGCAAAAUUAGACGCAACUGGGAGCGCACAAAUAAUCCCGACAAGUGGUUCAAUAAGACGAAAUAAAUAAAGGAAUUUCAUAAAAACACAUUUUAUUAGUUUCC